GACGAACGCUGGCGGCGUGCCUAAUACAUGCAAGUCGAACGCACGAAGUUGAAGAGCUUGCUCUUUAACCAAGUGAGUGGCGGACGGGUGAGUAACACGUGGGUAACCUGCCCAUUAGAGGGGGAUAACAUUCGGAAACGGAUGCUAAUACCGCAUAGUUUCAGGAAUCGCAUGAUUCUUGAAGGAAAGGUGGCUUCAGCUACCACUAAUGGAUGGACCCGCGGCGUAUUAGCUAGUUGGUGAGGUAAUGGCUCACCAAGGCAAUGAUACGUAGCCGACCUGAGAGGGUGAUCGGCCACACUGGGACUGAGACACGGCCCAGGCUCCUACGGGAGGCAGCAGUAGGGAAUCUUCCGCAAUGGACGAAAGUCUGACGGAGCAACGCCGCGUGAGUGAAGAAGGUUUUCGGAUCGUAAAACUCUGUUGUUAAAGAAGAACAAGGAUGAGAGUAACUGCUCAUCCCCUGACGGUAUUUAACCAGAAAGCCACGGCUAACUACGUGCCAGCAGCCGCGGUAAUACGUAGGUGGCAAGCGUUGUCCGGAUUUAUUGGGCGUAAAGCGAGCGCAGGCGGUUCUUUAAGUCUGAUGUGAAAGCCCCCGGCUCAACCGGGGAGGGUCAUUGGAAACUGGAGAACUUGAGUGCAGAAGAGGAGAGUGGAAUUCCACGUGUAGCGGUGAAAUGCGUAGAUAUGUGGAGGAACACCAGUGGCGAAGGCGACUCUCUGGUCUGUAACUGACGCUGAGGCUCGAAAGCGUGGGGAGCAAACAGG
This 771-nucleotide ribosomal RNA is filed under the name uncultured Vagococcus sp. Its description in RNAcentral is "bacterial SSU rRNA". It matches the Rfam family "Bacterial small subunit ribosomal RNA", at positions 28 to 776 of the family's 1533-position model. Lineage: Bacteria; Bacillati; Bacillota; Bacilli; Lactobacillales; Enterococcaceae. The record is from RNAcentral.